UAAUGACAGAAGAAUAGAUACGUGGUUGCUGACAUCACUUCAUGAAAGGCGAAAACCUCUUCACUUCAUUUGACAAUGCAGUGGCUGUACGAGGAACAAAUGAGGCAAGGAAGCGGUGGCCACCGAGGGGUUUGACGUGGCUUGUGACGUGGUCGCCAUUUACCAUGAUCUCGAGGUUGCCCGAACCAGCUUCAGCACCAUCAACUGUCAAGGGGAGUGAUUGCAUUGAUGUAAAGGAACACCUUUGUAAUAUACCAUAAGUACAGCAAAUAAAGAAUAAUUAAACUGUGUA
Rhipicephalus microplus (southern cattle tick) is the source of this 292-nucleotide long non-coding RNA. Lineage: Eukaryota; Metazoa; Arthropoda; Arachnida; Ixodida; Ixodidae. The record is from RefSeq and is a predicted model, not a curated record.